Oreochromis niloticus (Nile tilapia) is the source of this 991-nucleotide long non-coding RNA. RefSeq lists it as uncharacterized. The record is from RefSeq and is a predicted model, not a curated record. The transcript is spliced from 3 exons. Lineage: Eukaryota; Metazoa; Chordata; Actinopteri; Cichliformes; Cichlidae.
AGAAAUUGAAUAUGUAACUUAUUUUUUCUCCACUGUAACUUUUGAUUUCAAGUUCCCUCCCCUACCCACUUAACUAGCCCGGGCAAAUUCAUAUAUGGUGCAUUGCUUGGUGGACUUGCAAGCUUAUGUAAAAGACAUUUCAAGAUAAAGGAGGAAUUCAAGAGUUCAACCACUGUAAGCCUUGAAUGGCUACACUUGACCCCAAAACUGAUGGACGUCAUUAAGACAACUAUUUAGACUUUGGGUAGCUUUGAAAUGCACUUUGUUGGCAGUCACCCAUGUAGUUUAUACUCAUACUUUAUUUUUUCUUAAAUAGCACAAUUCAACUGAAAUACACAGAGAAGUAGCCAUCUGCUGCCUUAUCACAUACCUUGGAGAGAAGGAAGAGGACCUUUUCAUGGAGUUUGGUGACAAUUUAAGGCCAACCUUGAAAGGCAGGUGAUGAAAACUGCCAUCAUCGGUGACCGGUACACCCCUGGAUCUGACCAUAAGACUGCAACCAUUGUGGUGCGGGAACAAAAAUCCUGGAGGGCCAGAAUUUCCCAAGGUGCUGUGUGUUACUCAUGGGCAUAAUAUAUGCUCUCAAUCUGAGCUAAUGCAAGGAUCUGAAAUAUACUUUAGAAGUUUUUCAGAAGCUGUUCCUUGACCUUGAUGGAACCAGCAUUAUGUUAAAGAUGCUGACUCUGUUUCAAAAAUUGUUAACUGUUUUGAAUCCUGUAUGUGUAACAUUGAUCUUAAAGGUGUUUGCUGCAUUGUGUAAAAGAAAGAUGCAAGAUCUUGUAAAGUUUGGUAGGCACUGAAAGUUGACAUUUAUUGAACACUUGCUUGGAAGUAGUACUGUAACAAAAUGUUUUCUAAGUGGAUUUUUUACCAAUUGAACACAUUUAUUUCUGUGGUCUUAAAUACAUAAAAGCAUAUUGUUUAACUUGGCUACGAUGGUACAAAUCUAAAUUUCUGGUUUAUUUUCACUUUUUAAAUAUGAAGUGUUGAA